Molecule: unclassified non-coding RNA, 322 nt
Filed under: uncultured fungus
Lineage: Eukaryota; Fungi
Description: partial contains 5.8S ribosomal RNA and internal transcribed spacer 2
Rfam family: 5.8S ribosomal RNA (bases 1-133)
Source: RNAcentral
UGGCUCUGGCAUCGAUGAAGAACGCAGCGAAAUGCGAUAAGUAGUGUGAAUUGCAGAAUUCAGUGAAUCAUCGAAUCUUUGAACGCACAUUGCGCCCCCUGGUAUUCCUCGGGGCAUGCCUGUUCGAGCGUCAUCUACACCCUCAAGCCCUGCUUGGUGUUGGGCGUCUGUCCCGCCUCCGUCGCGCGGACUCGCCCCAAACUUAUUGGCAGCGGCCCUUGCCUCCUCGCGCAGCACAUUGCCUGGGGAGGUGUUGCGGCCUGCGUCCACGAAGCACGUUCAACCACGUUUUGACCUCGAAUCAGGUAGGGAUACCCGCUGA